AAUAGGCUAAUUAAGAGCGUAAGGGGAAUGCCUUGGCUCUCAGAGGCGAUGAAGGACGUGAUAAGCUGCGAUAAGCUGUGGGGAGUGGCACAAACACUUUGAUCCGCAGAUUUCCGAAUGGGGUAACCCGGCAUAUUGAAGAUAUGUCACACUGUAAAGUGAGCGAACCUGGUGAACUGAAACAUCUAAGUAACCAGAGGAAUAGAAAACAAAAGUGAUUCCGCUAGUAGUGGCGAGCGAACG
This 243-nucleotide ribosomal RNA is filed under the name uncultured Flavobacteriaceae bacterium. Its description in RNAcentral is "partial 23S ribosomal RNA". It matches the Rfam family "Bacterial large subunit ribosomal RNA", at positions 1 to 259 of the family's 2925-position model. The record is from RNAcentral. Lineage: Bacteria; Pseudomonadati; Bacteroidota; Flavobacteriia; Flavobacteriales; Flavobacteriaceae.